RNAcentral lists this long non-coding RNA (3253 nucleotides) under Hordeum vulgare. RNAcentral's name for it is "long non-coding RNA (HVUL_LNC001991)". Lineage: Eukaryota; Viridiplantae; Streptophyta; Magnoliopsida; Poales; Poaceae. The record is from RNAcentral.
CUUCUUCUUCUUCUUCAGGAAUUCGGUCGUCGUUGCUUAUUGUUUCCUGGCUCCUUGUGUUUGUUGCCUCCAUCGACGAGGCGAUUGAUCAUGAUCAGAUCAGCGUGUGGUUCUAGCUUGUGUACGUUUACCCCUCAUCAUUUUUCACUACACAAAGUACAAAUCAUUGUGUUAGUCCCUGAUAAUACUAACCCCUGUUCAUAAACAUUCAUAUUUAUGCCUCCUUAAAUUUCUUGAUGGGUGUUAGCCCUUUUGUGUUAACAAUUAUUGUGGUGUCCAAACUCCAAACCCUUUGGUUGAACUGAAAACCAGCAAACCAAAUUGCUAGCUCGUUCUCUCGGAGGUGUCCAUAGGUCUAGGAUAUGUGUGUGCAUGUUUGUAGGGAUGAAUAUAUGUACGCUUACGUGUGUACUGUGUUAAGAAAAACAAGUCAAAUUGCCCUAAAACCCCAGGCAAAUACGCAAAAUAUCUGAGGGCGCAGAGUGGGUGGUUAAGUUAGUGGGAUACAUUAGUCAUUAGGACCAGUUAAUAAGCUGUACCAAACGAAUGCACAUGGAGUUGCGGAGGCAUUGAGGGGAAGUGGCCAAAGCCGUAGCUAAUCAUGAACUGGCUGCUAAUUAAAGUAUCCAUCGGAUGGCAGCCGUCCUGACUCCUGCAUGCACAGUCCAACAUCAACCGGGCUGGCAUUCAGAUCAGCAGGCUCAGCUGUUCUGCUUUUGACAUAAACAACAGCUCACCGCUGCGCUGCUCGCUUCCAUAUCACGCGCUGCCAUUUCUUAAUCAUUUGACCUUGAUCGCUUUCUCCUCUCCCUCCCAAUCGAGACUUUGAAUCCUCGUCGUUUCAUCGAGAUCGAUCGCGUGUGCGCGCUGGAAGCAAAAUUUUAAAAAUCGCCUACGGGAAUGGACGGGCAAUGCUGGUAGUACGUACUGGCGCACGCGUAGAUCUCGAUGCCCUCCUGGUGCCCUUCUAGCUAAGAAACGUAUCGUUCUCGUAUCAUGAAGUGUUAUAUAGUAUUGGCGCUGGCGACAGGGAGUACGAUGUUGCACAGUUAAUAUCCUAGUAUAUUCAAAGAAACACAGUUAAUAGUGUAUAUGAAGAGAUUCUAUGCGAUCAAAAUGCAAUCAUUUUCAGUGGCCGACUCGUUCAUCUGGACCUAUAUGCUACUUCCUCCGUUCCUAAAUAUAAGUCUUUAUAGAGAUUUUACUAGUGGACUACAUACGGAUGUAUAUAGACAUACUUUAAAGUAUACAUUCAAUCAUUUUGCUUCGUAUGUAGACAUCUAAUGAAAUCGCUUAAAAGACUUAUAUUUAGGAACGGAGGGAGUAUAAGAAAGGUUUAAGACGUCCGGUUGUAGAUGCUAAUUUACAAUGGAGGCAAAGCGGAUGCUUUGUCCAUACAUGGAACCAGAUAGAAAUGGCAGCUGCAUGCCAAGUUGCAGCUAGACCGAACACGCGCUACUCCUCAAGUCCUCGUUACCCGAGCCCCCCGCGCACUAGUACAUGACGCCACUAAGUUUAUGCUUUGUUUAGAUUAGCAUUUCCAUUUCAUUACACCUGUAAAACUUACAGGCAGCUAUCCGUCGUUUUGAUUUCCGGCUGAAAAUAGCUCUUCGUCUGUAAAUUACAAUUGUAGUAAGAAACAUACAUCCGUAUUCAAUUACACCGAUUUCAAACGCGGCCUUAGGGUUAAAUUUAGCGGGAAGGUUUAGGAUUAAAUUUAGCGGGAAGGGGCCCGCCCGGUAAGGGGAAUCAAAGCACGCGUACGUAGUACGUACCACCCUGCGUACGGAUCGCUUGUUUCUUCCUUUGUUUGCCACCAACUUGAUUGAUUCUCGUCCUUGCUUAAUUAGUACCACCAGCGGUACGUACUUUAAUUUGCCAGUGGUUUCUACCGCCAAAAGCGAGCAUACUUUGCCGGUAGCGGCGCCAGCUUUACAGAGAGGAGAACGCUAGCUAGCUGACCGAUGAAAAGAUAGAAAAUAGAAUGAGAUGAACCUGCAAGAGAAGACGAACAAAUGCAUGCUCGCUCGCUCCUCCCGGACCCGGUUGUACAGUUUCAUGAUUCUUGCGCCCGCCGUGAUUCGUAAACAAAGGCGCAAGCGCAACUGGCGUGAUGGCCUGCCCGGCCGGUUGGUUCCGUGAUUUUUCUCCUCGCAGCUGGUAUAGGGUUCACUUGGCAUUAACAAAGCCGAAAUCGACAUGUAGGACGACGUGACGAUGCCGAGAAAAAAAAUAUGAUUAUAUGGUCAUGCAGCUUGCACACUUGGCCAACUUGUUGCGCAACUAGCUAGCGCCACCCCGGUCAAGGACGUACGACCGCAGCAGCCCCGCCCUCGGCGCGAUUCGACUUGCUUCCUUCCCUGUCCGUCGUCUCCCCGUCACCUUUUGUACAUAUGAUAAAUCAGCUUGCGCCAUCGCGGGCAAGUUGCCGUUCAACUUGGCUGGACGGCGGCGGUGAGAGGGAAGAGGAAGCUUCGCGUGCUCGAACGCCAGUCCGGCCCUUGGCGCCUCCGAUCACCACCUUCCGGAUUCCACCACCUUUCCGUAGAGUUUGACGAGCGCCCAGACGACCGACCGCGAGCUCUUUUUUUCCUAAUAAUGAAUUAAUCGACUAUCGAUCGAGAUUUUUUGUCCUGCUUUUAUUUAUCUUGUGGGCUGCUCUCUCUGCGAUUUUCCAUCAUGUCAUGUGAAGUAUGUUUGUUUGGUGUGCCGACUUGCUAACCCCUGCGGCUGAGGCGCUGAGCUGAGCGGGUCGUCCAAUGUACUCCGUGGGAGCGACUACGUACCUCGCGCCCACUCGACCCCGUGGGAGCUGAUCGGGACCAAUAUAAUGCUCAUCGAUCUCUAGGGCGACACGUGAGCACCUUCCUUCAUGAACGGCCAUGGCUAGGCCAGUCAUAUAGACGUACGGGCCCAGAAGCACAAGGCGAGGGGCCGGGGGAGAGACAGUGGAAGCCAACAUGUACUGUAUGUCCCUACGUACCUUCAUGAAUGGCGUCGGACGCCAUGGAUAUCAUGAUGCACAGGCUCGCGGCCGGCUGGCAUCACGCAGGAGACAAAUGGACACUUAUGACCGUCAUCUGGUCCAGCUUGCCAGCCAGCCAGCCAGCGUCCUACGGCACGAGAGAUGCCUGCCGAUCAACGGACGUCCAUACGCAUACAGGCUACCAUGUGUGUGUCCAGUACCGCGCACGCACGCACGCUCCGUUGGACGUGACCGGCCGCCUCUGGCGCGGCGCAGGCUAUAUAGCAG